AGUGAACGCUGGCGGUAGGCCUAACACAUGCAAGUCGAACGGCAGCACAGUAAGAGCUUGCUCUUACGGGUGGCGAGUGGCGGACGGGUGAGGAAUACAUCGGCAUCUACUUUUUCGUGGGGGAUAACGUAGGGAAACUUACGCUAAUACCUCAUACGACCUACGGGUGAAAGCAGGGGAUCUUCGGACCUUGCGCGAUUGAAUGAGCCGAUGUCGGAUUAGCUAGUUGGCGGGGUAAAGGCCCACCAAGGCGACGAUCCGUAGCUGGUCUGAGAGGAUGAUCAGCCACACGGGAACUGAGACACGGUCCAGGCGCCUACGGGAGGCAGCAGUGGGGAAUAGUGGACAAUGGGCGCAGGCCUGAUCCAGCCAGACCGCGUGGGUGAAGAAGGCCUUCGGGUUGUAAAGCCCUUUUGUUGGGAAAGAAAAGCAGCAGGUUAAUACCACGCGGUUCUGACGGUACCCGAAGAAGAAGCACCGGCUAACUUCGUG
This 492-nucleotide ribosomal RNA is filed under the name uncultured bacterium. RNAcentral's name for it is "partial 16S ribosomal RNA". It matches the Rfam family "Bacterial small subunit ribosomal RNA", at positions 29 to 507 of the family's 1533-position model. The record is from RNAcentral.